UCUGGCCCUAGAGGCAUUGCAGGUGUGGCUGCUGUGUCACAUGUGCGUCAGUAGGUGGCAGAGAGGAGAGAGGCUAUGUCUGUGCUCGGGUUCUGACCUGUGAACAUCUGAAUGAUUAGUAACCUAACGCU
Small nucleolar RNA from Apodemus sylvaticus (European woodmouse), 131 nucleotides. RefSeq annotates it as small nucleolar RNA SNORA17. The record is from RefSeq and is a predicted model, not a curated record. The transcript has a single exon. Lineage: Eukaryota; Metazoa; Chordata; Mammalia; Rodentia; Muridae.